UGCAUCCUACGGGACGCAGCAGUGAGGAAUAUUGGUCAAUGGCCGCAGGGCUGAACCAGCCAAGUCGCGUGAGGGAUGACGGUCCUAUGGAUUGUAAACCUCUUUUGUCAGGGAGCAAAGGGCGCCACGUGUGGCGUUCUGCGAGUACCUGAAGAAAAAGCAUCGGCUAACUCCGUGCCAGCAGCCGCGGUAAUACGGAGGAUGCGAGCGUUAUCCGGAUUUAUUGGGUUUAAAGGGUGCGUAGGCGGAGUGUCAAGUCAGCGGUAAAAUUUCGGGGCUCAACCCCGUCGUGCCGUUGAAACUGA
Molecule: ribosomal RNA, 305 nt
Filed under: uncultured bacterium
Lineage: Bacteria
Description: bacterial SSU rRNA
Rfam family: Bacterial small subunit ribosomal RNA
Source: RNAcentral